CACGUAGGGGGCGAGCGUUGUCCGGAUUCAUUGGGCGUAAAGGGCGCGCAGGCGGCCCGGAAAGUCGGAUGUGAAAACUCGAGGCUCAACCUCGAGCGUGCACCCGAUACUGCCGGGCUUGAGGCAGGUAGGGGAGAUCGGAAUUCCUGGUGUAGCGGUGAAAUGCGCAGAUAUCAGGAGGAACACCGGUGGCGAAGGCGGAUCUCUGGGCCUGUCCUGACGCUGAGACGCGAAAGCGUGGGGAGCGAACAGG
RNAcentral lists this ribosomal RNA (253 nucleotides) under uncultured bacterium. RNAcentral's name for it is "partial 16S ribosomal RNA". It matches the Rfam family "Bacterial small subunit ribosomal RNA", at positions 524 to 776 of the family's 1533-position model. The record is from RNAcentral.